AAGGUAGUGUAGUUAACACCUGCACUAUUUGACGUUACCUACAGAAGAAGCACCGGCUAACUCCGUGCCAGCAGCCGCGGUAAUACGGAGGGUGCGAGCGUUAAUCGGAAUUACUGGGCGUAAAGCGCAUGCAGGCGGCCUGUUAAGUCAGAUGUGAAAGCCCGGGGCUUAACCUCGGAAUUGCAUUUGAAACUGGCAGGCUAGAGUCUUGUAGAGGGGGGUAGGAAGUUUCAGGUGUAGCGGUGAAAUGCGUAGAGAUCUGAAGGAAUACCAGUGGCGAAGGCGGCCCCCUCGGACAAAGACUGACGCUCAGAUGCGAAAGCGUGGGGAGCAAACAGGAUUAGAUACCCCUGGUAG
RNAcentral lists this ribosomal RNA (357 nucleotides) under uncultured bacterium. RNAcentral's name for it is "bacterial SSU rRNA". It matches the Rfam family "Bacterial small subunit ribosomal RNA", at positions 444 to 793 of the family's 1533-position model. The record is from RNAcentral.